CUACGUCCACGGAAUAUAGGAGUUCUCAUUAAUUGUGAAGGGUUUACACAAGUACAUAGGUUCAAGCUCUCAUUUAGUGAGUACAAGUGAAUGAUUUAGUACAAAUGACAUUAGGAAAUAUUGUGGGAGAAUGAUCUCGUAAUCCACGAAACUUCUAAGUAUCGGAGUGUGGUAUCGUCUUGACUUGCCUUAUCUGUCUCAUAGGUAGAUGUGGCAUCUUCUCUGGAAGUACUC
This 234-nucleotide long non-coding RNA is filed under the name Malus domestica (apple). Its description in RNAcentral is "long non-coding RNA (MDOM_LNC003855)". The record is from RNAcentral. Lineage: Eukaryota; Viridiplantae; Streptophyta; Magnoliopsida; Rosales; Rosaceae.